UGGUGUGGAGAAGAGGGCCCUGACUGGCAAUGUAGGAAUCCUUCUGCCGGUAGCCCUAUACAGGCCAAAUCAAUAGCAGGAGUGAGGAGGUUUAGUGGGGAAGGAGAAGGGUCCUAGUGAAGAAGAUAGGUCCUUAGGGAAGGAUGGGGGUGGCUUGGAAGCAAAUGUCUCUGAGGCAGAGCUCCCCUUUGGCCCAGGACCAAACUCUGACCAACUGGUCUCUGUCUUUGCUGUUACACUGGUGUGUACUCUUAGUCUCCUACCGCCUUCUGCUCCCUGGGGCCUGAAAGACCAGUUCACAGGAGGGGUUCCCCAUGCCAUUACGGGGUGGCUUACCCACAUCCUCAGUGCGGCCAUUGGAUAAGCGGAAAGAAUUGGAAUGGCUCCCAGCUUGCUUAUAUUUCUUAAAUCUAAUGAGGAAAGGUCAUAGUGAAAAAAUAAAAACAGAAGAGGUCAG
Talpa occidentalis (Iberian mole) is the source of this 457-nucleotide long non-coding RNA. RefSeq lists it as uncharacterized. The record is from RefSeq and is a predicted model, not a curated record. The transcript has 3 exons. NCBI's taxonomy places the organism in Eukaryota, Metazoa, Chordata, Mammalia, Eulipotyphla, Talpidae.